UCCGAUGUAGUGUAGGGGUUAUCACUGCGCUCUUUCACAGCGCUAACGGGGGUUCGAAUCCCCCCAUCGGAG
Molecule: transfer RNA, 72 nt
Organism: Penicillium nalgiovense
Lineage: Eukaryota; Fungi; Ascomycota; Eurotiomycetes; Eurotiales; Aspergillaceae
Rfam family: tRNA
About the family: Transfer RNA (tRNA) molecules are approximately 80 nucleotides in length. Their secondary structure includes four short double-helical elements and three loops (D, anti-codon, and T loops). Further hydrogen bonds mediate the characteristic L-shaped molecular structure. tRNAs have two regions of fundamental functional importance: the anti-codon, which is responsible for specific mRNA codon recognition, and the 3' end, to which the tRNAs corresponding amino acid is attached (by aminoacyl-tRNA synthetases). tRNAs cope with the degeneracy of the genetic code in two manners: having more than one tRNA (with a specific anti-codon) for a particular amino acid; and 'wobble' base-pairing, i.e. permitting non-standard base-pairing at the 3rd anti-codon position.
Source: Rfam